This 467-nucleotide ribosomal RNA is filed under the name uncultured bacterium. Its description in RNAcentral is "partial 16S ribosomal RNA". It matches the Rfam family "Bacterial small subunit ribosomal RNA", at positions 29 to 507 of the family's 1533-position model. The record is from RNAcentral.
ACGAACGCUGGCGGCGUGCUUAACACAUGCAAGUCGAACGGAAAGGCCCUGCUUUUGUGGGGUGCUCGAGUGGCGAACGGGUGAGUAACACGUGAGUAACCUGCCCUUGACUUUGGGAUAACUUCAGGAAACUGGGGCUAAUACCGGAUAGGAGCUCCUGCUGCAUGGUGGGGGUUGGAAAGUUUCGGCGGUUGGGGAUGGACUCGCGGCUUAUCAGCUUGUUGGUGGGGUAGUGGCUUACCAAGGCUUUGACGGGUAGCCGGCCUGAGAGGGUAACCGGCCACAUUGGGACUGAGAUACGGCCCAGACUCCUACGGGAGGCAGCAGUGGGGAAUAUUGCACAAUGGGCGGAAGCCUGAUGCAGCAACGCCGCGUGCGGGAUGACGGCCUUCGGGUUGUAAACCGCUUUCGCCUGUGACGAAGCGUGAGUGACGGUAAUGGGUAAAGAAGCACCGGCUAACUACGUG